GUGUUCACUUUAGCAGCACAUGUACUAAAAUCAGAACACUACAGAGAAGAUUAGCAUGGCCCCUGUGCAAGGAUGACAUGCAAAUUCAUAAAGCAUUCCAUAUUUUU
Small nuclear RNA from Camelus dromedarius (Arabian camel), 107 nucleotides. Lineage: Eukaryota; Metazoa; Chordata; Mammalia; Artiodactyla; Camelidae. The record is from Ensembl.